Long non-coding RNA from Microtus ochrogaster (prairie vole), 260 nucleotides. RefSeq lists it as uncharacterized. Lineage: Eukaryota; Metazoa; Chordata; Mammalia; Rodentia; Cricetidae. The record is from RefSeq and is a predicted model, not a curated record. The transcript is spliced from 3 exons.
GGCACAGAAAUAAAUGGCAGAAAUAUUAGGCUUAUUGAAGAUAAGCCACGAACAAGCCAUAGGCGCUCUUAUUCUGGAAGUAGAUCCAGAUCACGCUCUAGAAGAAGGUCACGGAGUAGGAGUCGCAGGAGCAGCCGCAGUAGAUCUCGAAGUAUCUCAAAAAGUCGCUCCCGAUCUAGGUCGCGGAGCAAAGGUCGAUCCCGAUCCCGCUCAAAAGGCAGGAAAUCCAGAUCAAAGAGCAAAUCUAAGCCUAAGUCUGA